This 865-nucleotide ribosomal RNA is filed under the name uncultured Alphaproteobacteria bacterium. Its description in RNAcentral is "bacterial SSU rRNA". It matches the Rfam family "Bacterial small subunit ribosomal RNA", at positions 8 to 922 of the family's 1533-position model. Lineage: Bacteria; Pseudomonadati; Pseudomonadota; Alphaproteobacteria. The record is from RNAcentral.
AGAGUUUGAUCCUGGCUCAGAACGAACGCUGGCGGCAGGCCUAACACAUGCAAGUCGAGCGCACCUUCGGGUGAGCGGCGGACGGGUUAGUAACGCGUGGGAACGUGCCCAGAUCUGCGGAAUAGCCACUGGAAACGGUGAGUAAUACCUCAUACGCCCUACGGGGGAAGGAUUUAUCGGAUUUGGAUCGGCCCGCGUUAGAUUAGAUAGUUGGUGGGGUAAUGGCCUACCAAGUCUACGAUCUAUAGCUGGUUUUAGAGGAUGAUCAGCAACACUGGGACUGAGACACGGCCCAGACUCCUACGGGAGGCAGCAGUGGGGAAUCUUAGACAAUGGGCGCAAGCCUGAUCUAGCCAUGCCGCGUGAGUGAUGAAGGCCUUAGGGUCGUAAAGCUCUUUCGCCAGAGAUGAUAAUGACAGUAUCUGGUAAAGAAACCCCGGCUAACUCCGUGCCAGCAGCCGCGGUAAUACGGAGGGGGUUAGCGUUGUUCGGAAUUACUGGGCGUAAAGCGCGCGUAGGCGGACCAGAAAGUUGGGGGUGAAAUCCCGGGGCUCAACCCCGGAACUGCCUCCAAAACUCCUGGUCUAGAGUUCGAGAGAGGUGAGUGGAAUUCCGAGUGUAGAGGUGAAAUUCGUAGAUAUUCGGAGGAACACCAGUGGCGAAGGCGGCUCACUGGCUCGAUACUGACGCUGAGGUGCGAAAGUGUGGGGAGCAAACAGGAUUAGAUACCCUGGUAGUCCACACCGUAAACGAUGAAUGCCAGUCGUCGGGUAGCAUGCUGCUCGGUGACACACCUAACGGAUUAAGCAUUCCGCCUGGGGAGUACGGUCGCAAGAUUAAAACUCAAAGGAAUUGACGGGGGCCC